CGCGUAGGCGGUUUGUUAAGUCGGAUGUGAAAGCCCCGGGCUCGACCUGGGAAUUGCACCCGAUACUGGCCGACUGGAGUGCGAGAGAGGGAGGUAGAAUUCCACGUGUAGCGGUGAAAUGCGUAGAUAUGUGGAGGAAUACCGGUGGCGAAGGCGGCCUCCUGGCUCGACACUGACGCUGAGGUGCGAAAGCGUGGGGAGCAAACA
This 207-nucleotide ribosomal RNA is filed under the name uncultured bacterium. RNAcentral's name for it is "partial 16S ribosomal RNA". It matches the Rfam family "Bacterial small subunit ribosomal RNA", at positions 568 to 774 of the family's 1533-position model. The record is from RNAcentral.